RNAcentral lists this ribosomal RNA (794 nucleotides) under uncultured microeukaryote. RNAcentral's name for it is "SSU rRNA". It matches the Rfam family "Eukaryotic small subunit ribosomal RNA", at positions 154 to 957 of the family's 1831-position model. The record is from RNAcentral.
AAUUCUAGAGCUAAUACAUGCUAAAAACCCCAACUUCGGAAGGGGUGUAUUUAUUAGAUAAAAAACCAACGCCCUUCGGGGCUCCUUGGUGAUUCAUAAUAACUAAACGAAUCGCAUGGCCUUGCGCCGGCGAUGGUUCAUUCAAAUUUCUGCCCUAUCAACUUUCGAUGGUAGGAUAGUGGCCUACCAUGGUAUCAACGGGUAACGGGGAAUUAGGGUUCUAUUCCGGAGAGGGAGCCUGAGAAACGGCUACCACAUCCAAGGAAGGCAGCAGGCGCGCAAAUUACCCAAUCCCGACACGGGGAGGUAGUGACAAUAAAUACUGAUACAGGGCUCUUUCGGGUCUUGUAAUUGGAAUGAGUACAAUUUAAAUCCCUUAACGAGGAACAAUUGGAGGGCAAGUCUGGUGCCAGCAGCCGCGGUAAUUCCAGCUCCAAUAGCGUAUAUUAAAGUUGUUGCAGUUAAAAAGCUCGUAGUUGAACCUUGGGCCUGGCUGGCCGGUCCGCCUCACCGCGUGUACUGGUCCGGCCGGGCCUUUCCUUCUGGGGAGCCGCAUGCCCUUCACUGGGCGUGUCGGGGAACCAGGACUUUUACUUUGAAAAAAUUAGAGUGUUCAAAGCAGGCCUUUGCUCGAAUACAUUAGCAUGGAAUAAUAGAAUAGGACGUGCGGUUCUAUUUUGUUGGUUUCUAGGACCGCCGUAAUGAUUAAUAGGGAUAGUCGGGGGCAUCAGUAUUCAAUUGUCAGAGGUGAAAUUCUUGGAUUUAUUGAAGACUAACUACUGCGAAAGCAUUUG